Molecule: ribosomal RNA, 355 nt
Filed under: uncultured bacterium
Lineage: Bacteria
Description: bacterial SSU rRNA
Rfam family: Bacterial small subunit ribosomal RNA
Source: RNAcentral
GUAUGGUGUAAGCGUUAUCCGGAUUUACUGGGUGUAAAGGGAGCGUAGACGGAUGGGCAAGUCUGAUGUGAAAACCCGGGGCUCAACCCCGGGACUGCAUUGGAAACUGUUCAUCUAGAGUGCUGGAGAGGUAAGUGGAAUUCCUAGUGUAGCGGUGAAAUGCGUAGAUAUUAGGAGGAACACCAGUGGCGAAGGCGGCUUACUGGACAGUAACUGACGUUGAGGCUCGAAAGCGUGGGGAGCAAACAGGAUUAGAUACCCUGGUAGUCCACGCGGUAAACGAUGAAUGCUAGGUGUCGGGUGACAAAGUCAUUCGGUGCCGCCGCAAACGCAUUAAGCAUUCCACCUGGGGAGU